RNAcentral lists this ribosomal RNA (731 nucleotides) under Microbacterium sp. RNAcentral's name for it is "bacterial SSU rRNA". It matches the Rfam family "Bacterial small subunit ribosomal RNA", at positions 105 to 848 of the family's 1533-position model. Lineage: Bacteria; Bacillati; Actinomycetota; Actinomycetes; Micrococcales; Microbacteriaceae. The record is from RNAcentral.
GGUGAGUAACACGUGAGCAACCUGCCCCUGACUCUGGGAUAAGCGCUGGAAACGGCGUCUAAUACUGGAUAUGUGACGUGACCGCAUGGUCUGCGUCUGGAAAGAAUUUCGGUUGGGGAUGGGCUCGCGGCCUAUCAGCUUGUUGGUGAGGUAAUGGCUCACCAAGGCGUCGACGGGUAGCCGGCCUGAGAGGGUGACCGGCCACACUGGGACUGAGACACGGCCCAGACUCCUACGGGAGGCAGCAGUGGGGAAUAUUGCACAAUGGGCGAAAGCCUGAUGCAGCAACGCCGCGUGAGGGAUGACGGCCUUCGGGUUGUAAACCUCUUUUAGCAGGGAAGAAGCGAAAGUGACGGUACCUGCAGAAAAAGCGCCGGCUAACUACGUGCCAGCAGCCGCGGUAAUACGUAGGGCGCAAGCGUUAUCCGGAAUUAUUGGGCGUAAAGAGCUCGUAGGCGGUUUGUCGCGUCUGCUGUGAAAUCCGGAGGCUCAACCUCCGGCCUGCAGUGGGUACGGGCAGACUAGAGUGCGGUAGGGGAGAUUGGAAUUCCUGGUGUAGCGGUGGAAUGCGCAGAUAUCAGGAGGAACACCGAUGGCGAAGGCAGAUCUCUGGGCCGUAACUGACGCUGAGGAGCGAAAGGGUGGGGAGCAAACAGGCUUAGAUACCCUGGUAGUCCACCCCGUAAACGUUGGGAACUAGUUGUGGGGUCCAUUCCACGGAUUCCGUGACG